RNAcentral lists this non-coding RNA (28 nucleotides) under Mus musculus (house mouse). The record is from RNAcentral. Lineage: Eukaryota; Metazoa; Chordata; Mammalia; Rodentia; Muridae.
CACUUUUUGGUUGGUUAAGGGCACUUGU